This 67-nucleotide transfer RNA is filed under the name Calineuria stigmatica. Its description in RNAcentral is "tRNA-Leu". The record is from RNAcentral. Lineage: Eukaryota; Metazoa; Arthropoda; Insecta; Plecoptera; Perlidae.
UCUAUUUUGGCAGAUAAGUGCAAUGGAUUUAGGAUUCAUGUAUGUAAAGUUUAAUUUACAGAUAGAA